Molecule: long non-coding RNA, 1220 nt
Filed under: Homo sapiens (human)
Lineage: Eukaryota; Metazoa; Chordata; Mammalia; Primates; Hominidae
Description: non-protein coding lnc-PDSS1-3:1
Source: RNAcentral
UUUUUUCUUUAAAGACUGUGAUUUUCUUGGGACCAGGGACUAUGACAUACUUAUUACUCCCAGGCUGGGCAUGGUGGUUGAUACCUGUAAUCCCAACACUGUGGGAGACCAAGGCGGGAAGACUGCUUGAGCCCGGAGUUCAAGGCCAGCCUGGGCAAUAUAGCAAGACCUCAUCUCUACAUUAAUUAAUUAAUUACUUAAAGAAAUACUUAUUACUCCUGGACCCCUUAAAGUGUGGUCCAAUGGCAGGCACAGAAAAUGGCCAAUAAGUAGUUUUGGGGUUGGCUGGACCAUUCAACAGUGGCUCCUGGGCAAAUGUUAGGAUAAAAGCACAAUGGAAGUAUCUCUGCAUAUGUGAAGAUCUAGAGAUGAAAAUUCUACUAUUGUCCUAAUAGAACCUAAAACUCCUAUGUUGAUACCCAGUCACCAAAGUGAUGGUAUUAGAAAAUAGGGACUUUAGGAGGUGACUAGGUCAUGAGGGCUCCGUCCUCAUGAAUGGGGUUCAUGUCCUUAUGAAAGAGGCCCCAGAGAGCUGCCUUCGCUUCCGCCAUGUGAGGAUGAAGUGAGAAGGCGCCAUCUAUGAAGCAGAGAACCCUCAAAUGUACAUGUACCCCUGAACUUAAAAGAUGAAAAGAAAAAUAAAUUGAUGUUCAAGUUUGUCACAGGUGACCCUUAAAGUCCUCCUAAUGGCUUGACUACUUUGUCUUUUAGUCUACAGGACUUUGAAGAAGGAAGGAAAUAACUAACCCAGCAAACCAGAACCUGAUGCUAUAAUAAUUGUAAUAGUUAACAUGUUAAGCACUUUACAUGUAUUUCCUAAUUUAAUCCUACACCAACCUAUCAGAUUUAUAUAUAUAUAUAUAUUCUUUUUGAGAUGGAGUUUCUCUCUUGUUGCUCACGCUGGAGUGCAAUGGUGUUAUCACGGCUCAUUGCAAACUCCGCCUCCCAGUUUCAAGUGAUUCUCCUGCCUCAGCCUCCCACGUAGCUGGGAUUACAGGCAUGUGCCACCAUGCCCGGCUAAUUUUGCAUUUUUAGUAAGGAUGGGGUUUCAUCAUGUUGGUCAGGCUGGUCUCAAACUCCUGACCUCAGGUGAUCUGCUCACCUCGGCCUCCCAAAGUGCUGGGAUUACAGGCAUGAGCCACCGCGCCCAGCCAACAAAUAUAUAUUUUUAAAUGGAGGUGAGCUGCAUUACAGAAUUACAAGUAUAGUACUAGUUAAUU